GAUGAACGCUGGCGGCGUGCCUAAUACAUGCAAGUCGAGCGAACAGACGAGGAGCUUGCUCCUCUGACGUUAGCGGCGGACGGGUGAGUAACACGUGGAUAACCUACCUAUAAGACUGGGAUAACUUCGGGAAACCGGAGCUAAUACCGGAUAAUAUAUUGAACCGCAUGGUUCAAUAGUGAAAGACGGUUUUGCUGUCACUUAUAGAUGGAUCCGCGCCGCAUUAGCUAGUUGGUAAGGUAACGGCUUACCAAGGCAACGAUGCGUAGCCGACCUGAGAGGGGGGAUCGGCAACACGGGACCUGAGCACGGGCCCAGACCCCUAGGGGGGGAACCGGUGGGAAACUUUCGGAAAGGGGGGAAAGCCGACGGGGGCACCGCCGGGGAGGUGAUAAAGGUUUCGGGUCGGUAAACCCUGUUUUUUAGGAAAAAAAAAAUGGUAAAGUAACAUUCCCCGUUUUGGCGGUCCCAAACCAAAAACCCACGGCAACUUCCGG
RNAcentral lists this ribosomal RNA (497 nucleotides) under uncultured bacterium. RNAcentral's name for it is "partial 16S ribosomal RNA". It matches the Rfam family "Bacterial small subunit ribosomal RNA", at positions 28 to 506 of the family's 1533-position model. The record is from RNAcentral.